This is a long non-coding RNA of Protopterus annectens (West African lungfish), 854 nucleotides long. RefSeq lists it as uncharacterized. The record is from RefSeq and is a predicted model, not a curated record. Lineage: Eukaryota; Metazoa; Chordata; Ceratodontiformes; Protopteridae. The transcript is spliced from 3 exons.
UUUCCUUUGGAUUCUCCGGUUUAUUCCCCCCAAUGCAAAGACAUGCUAUCAGGUAGACUGACUGGCACUAGGUGUGACACUGUACGAGUAUGGAUGAACUACUGUGAUACACUGAUAUAAAUCUUGGUCCUAGAUGAUUAUUAGUGUUGAAGUGACACCCCCGACCCCCUUGUGCAAAAAUGGGAAAAGGGGUUGAGGAUGAAUGGAUGGAUCUGUAUACGCAAGCAUGCCCAAUUGUACUAUAAGCUGACGUAUGGCUGUUACUUCGGAAGGGUGCUCUGGAAGGUCUCCAUUGUGAGAUGAUUAAUGGAAGAAGUUAACUGUGAGAGCUCUGACUGAACCAUUUCUGCUCACUGAUAUAAUGAUGGGAUCGAAUCUUGGAUAGCUGAAGAUGGAGUUACAUAUGUAGAAAUCGCCAUCAUGGUUGAAACAGAUUCUACUGUUGAAGUGGAAAACUAAAUUAAUUAUACAAAGAUAUUUUUGCAUUAUUAAAAUUUUUAUAAAUAAAUAAAUAAUUAUGAGUAAUGUAAUAGGGCAAAAGCUCUGCUAACGGUUAGAGUGAACUCUUGUAGUAGUAUCUUAUUUUUUUAAAUUACAGAAUGAAAACUCUUGGACUAAUACUAAUUUAACUGUAUCUAAAAUAAGCUUAGCCCAGAGAAAUCCUCCUAGUUGUUUAUUAUCAACUAUGUUAGAAAAAUGUUAAACCUGCAAACUUUUUCCCUUUAUUUAUUUAUUUAGAAUUGUUUCUUCUUUUAGGAUUUCGAGGUCCUUUGUGGUUUGUUGAGACCAAAACUGAUACUCCUUGUUUUUAGCUUCAUGUAGCAAUAAACAGUAGAUCUUUGUUGUGAAACUGA